CUCUUCCAUACUCUUAUUACUGUUAAAGAAGCAUCUCUCUGGGAGACUCUAGAAAGUGCACAGCAAAGAUACACUGAAGGCAGCAGUACCUUACUGUAUCCAGGCAACACAAGGUAAAGCUCUGUGCCUUAUCUAUUUAUCUAUAUUAGAAUUAGAAUUCAGCCAUGUGAUGGUUGUCAUGGAGGUAUAUAUUAACAUAUUUAUCUUAGCUGAAAAAUCAAGUGGGACUCAUACUGACAGAAGGAUGUCUGAUUUAAAGGGCCACUGUACUCACCAACCCACAGUCAACGUUUAAACUUCUGGGAUUAAAGUUCUUUCCUGAGUCUUCAGUUAGCUUCAAGUGCACAUAGGGACCAAACAGGGACUUCUUAUGAGACUGCAAAGGAAUAAGCAUUUGGCCUAUCUCAUGGAAGAAGGAACAGUUUCUAGUCUUAAAAACAGGAGGUUCGCCUACAUGAUCACCUGGGACAAAUUUGGCCAGUGCAAGCAGGCCAGAAGGUUAUAGGAGCCUGGGAAUGUUUAACAUCAAGCAAGGAAUUACAGCUCAGUAAGAUCAGAGGGAAUUACACAGGAAAUGUGAAUAGUAACCCUUUUCUAUCUCUGUGCCCCUUCCAGCUGCCUGUGAUAAAUGGAGGCCUGCUGCUGCCCAGUUAUGUGAAUACACAAGCCUAGAGAAGAGAGGAAUUGGGGAAAAGGAAAAAAAGACAGUUUCUACACACACACACACACACACACACACACACACACACACACACACACACACACACAGUACAGCAUAAAUUCAUAAUGACACGAUAAAAUCAUGCUGCUCCAGAAACAGCCUCUAGCCUUUCUAAUUGCCACAUAUGCACUGUAUUACUGCCUUUAUGCAACAGAGCCCUAAGUAAAAUUUCCAUAGCAACUUGAAGAAUCAGACGGCGGAGGAGGGAUGAAAUAGUUGGCAGACUCACUGUAAGUAGGGAAAUGUGCUCCUACAAAGCUGACCAAACAAAUAGGUCUCCACCCUGGCUUAUGCUUAAACAUCUUGUUCCUAGUCAGUCUGUAGGGAAAGCAUUCUUUCCACAAUAAAUAACAUGUAAUCAAAUCACAAAUUCUCACUACAUCCUUUAUCUACUCUAUGCAAAAGUUUCUUCAAUAUUCUAAGAUAGAAGCUUAGAGAAUUUAAAUGAUUGUAAACAUUUUUUUUAAAGAGUAACCUGGCUAUAAUGAAGGCAAGUUAAAAUAUUUCUAAUUGUUAAUUUGGAAAAUGCAGAUAUGACUGUGCAGAUCUGAGACACCUUCAGAGGCCCCUGGUUAGGAUCUCAAAAAAAUAAGACACUCUUAUCACAUCUGCCUCUGGGAAAAGGGGAAAUGCUCAGUUUCCACAAACAGGUGAGUUUGAGAGAUACUAACUUGAAAAAUAUACACAAACAGACAAGCUUGGGAAGAUGGCUGACCAGAGAUAUCAGCUGCAAUAUUGUCACAGAAAAAAGGAAAGUUUCAGAUGACAAAGAAAAAACAAUCUAGAUCAAGUGUAAUUCCAAGAGAAAAGAGCUAGAACCUACAAGAGAUUCCACGGGAAGAAAUUAUGGAGCAGAACAAGAAGGAGCAAGGUAUCAGUAGAGGUC
This is a non-coding RNA of Microcebus murinus (gray mouse lemur), 1607 nucleotides long. Lineage: Eukaryota; Metazoa; Chordata; Mammalia; Primates; Cheirogaleidae. The record is from RefSeq and is a predicted model, not a curated record.